AAUAAUGGUUCUCAACCUGUUUUUAAUGCCCUGGGUUCAGGGGGGGGGCUCCCCAGGUUAUGACAAAAAUUGGUAACAUUUAUUAAUGCAUUUUAAUUUGGUUACACUGCCAAACAAUUUAAUUUCUUUUUAAUAUGACUCAAUGUUUCACUCCACUAUGUUCAACUGUACAUUUUCAUUUUCAUUGCUCUUAAAAUAGAAGGUGAAUGUUCAUGAACAAAAAAAACUAAAUCUAAAACACAUUUGGCAAAUGACUUGCAUCAGAAGCCUGACAACAAUUAAACAUGACAAUAAAUUAAACAUUUAAUAAUUGAAAAACCCUCAUUUAAGGUAUUAAUCAUCAACAAAAUAAACCAAAUAUUGGUUUAUUACGAUAUUUUUAACAAUAUUAACCAAGCUGAUUCUUCACCGUUCCUAUCCGUCGGCUUUUUAGCGAGAUGCUAACUGAAUGGUUUGAUAUCAGCUGGGAAUUCUGGGAUUCUACACAACGCCAUGACUGAAGCUCUUCUACCGUUUACAAUGAGUCCCAGGGACGGCAAUUCCCAACUCUACACCAGGGGCCGUCAGGGGCAAAAACGUGACAGAAAACGACUGGCUAAAACAGGUGCCACCCAACAGUCAAGAGGAGAAGCACAGACAUGUUUCACGUCGGGGAAAGGCUGCCUUCCAAGUAAAACAGUCCACAAGGCAAAGACUGUCACCACGUUAAGAUUACAGAGGCCGUG
Brienomyrus brachyistius is the source of this 725-nucleotide long non-coding RNA. RefSeq lists it as uncharacterized. NCBI's taxonomy places the organism in Eukaryota, Metazoa, Chordata, Actinopteri, Osteoglossiformes, Mormyridae. The record is from RefSeq and is a predicted model, not a curated record. The transcript has 3 exons.